CUACGGGUGGCUGCAGUGAGGAAUAUUGCACAAUGGGGGAAACCCUGAUGCAGCAACGCCGCGUGGAGGAUGACGCAUUUCGGUGUGUAAACUCCUUUUAUCAGAGAAGAAAAUGACGGUAUCUGAUGAAUAAGCUCCGGCUAACUCCGUGCCAGCAGCCGCGGUAAUACGUGAGGGAGCAAGCGUUAUUCGGAAUCACUGGGCGUAAAGGACGCGUAGGCGGGUUUUUAAGUCAGGUGUGAAAUCCUAUGGCUCAACCAUAGAACUGCACUUGAAACUGGGGACCUAGAGUAUGGAAGGGGCAGGUGGAAUUAGUGGUGUAGGGGUAAAAUCCGUAGAUAUCACUAGGAAUACCGAAAGCGAAGGCGACCUGCUGGGACAUUACUGACGCUGAGGCGUGAAAGCGUGGGGAGCAAACAGGAUUAGAUACCCUAGUAGUC
Molecule: ribosomal RNA, 440 nt
Filed under: uncultured bacterium
Lineage: Bacteria
Description: partial 16S ribosomal RNA
Rfam family: Bacterial small subunit ribosomal RNA
Source: RNAcentral